CAGCCGCCGCGGUAAUACGUAGGGUGCGAGCGUUAAUCGGAAUUACUGGGCGUAAAGCGUGCGCAGGCGGUCGUGUAAGACAGGUGUGAAAUCCCCGGGCUUAACCUGGGAACUGCGCUUGUGACUGCACAGCUAGAGUAUGGCAGAGGGGGGUGGAAUUCCACGUGUAGCAGUGAAAUGCGUAGAGAUGUGGAGGAACACCGAUGGCGAAGGCAGCCCCCUGGGCCAAUACUGACGCUCAUGCACGAAAGCGUGGGGAGCAAACAGGAUUAGAUACCCCCGUAGUCCCUGUCUCUUAUAC
This 301-nucleotide ribosomal RNA is filed under the name uncultured bacterium. Its description in RNAcentral is "partial 16S ribosomal RNA". It matches the Rfam family "Bacterial small subunit ribosomal RNA", at positions 509 to 807 of the family's 1533-position model. The record is from RNAcentral.